UGGCGGCUUGUUAACUACCUAGGGGAAUAUGUGCCUUAAUCCGAUAGUCCUCGACAUAUUUUACUGGGCCUUGAAAAAACAGUUGGUGUAUUGCCGUUGUCAGCUUGUUGUUGAGCAGAGAGAAACAGGCUUAAAGGAUUCGUCUGGGAGCAGAUGGAUUCCGUGAAUUCAGGUCGUAAUACUGCCUAUGGCUCUAGGGAGUGGGUGUUACAAUUUUUAAUUAAAAUACGGAUCUUUUUAUGAAAAAAAAGUGAAGGUGAACUUAGGAGUAAGGGAAGAUUAGCAUGCUCCCCUGAACGUGAAUCUAGCUUGUGUACAAACUGCCCGUCGCUCUCGGUAAGAGCUGAGAUAAGUCGUAACAAGGUAGGGGUACUGGAAGGUGCGCCCUGACAUGUGGGGUAGUGUAUAAGCACGCAGGUUUUUGGUUCCUGAAGAAAGAGGGUGUCUCUUUCCUGCAAAUUAGGCCGAAUUAGUAUAAAUAGUACGGGUGGCUUACACUCACUAAGAAACUUUUGGUUAUUCGGUUGUUGGUAAGAGUAUUAGUUUGGUCCGUUAGGUUUUACGUCGUAGUUCUUCUAAGGGUGGCCUAUCUUACCUUGUUUGAGCGGAAAGUUUUAGCUGCUAGACAAGUUCGGAAGGGUCCAGAGAUGGUUGGGUGGUUGGGACUUUUUCAACCGUUUGCUGAUGGGGUCAAGCUUUUUAGGAAGGAGUACUUCACUCCUAGAAGGUCUAAUUCCAUUCUUUUUUUUUUAGGUCCUUGUUUGAUGCUUUUUCAUGCAUUUUUUUUGUGGGGCUGCAGGCCAGGGGUUUGGGGGGGCGGUAUUUAUUUUUUUUGGGGCGGUCUUUAUGUUUUAAGGGUUUUAAGGGUUGGUGUGUACGGGGUAGUGCUCUGUGGGUGGGCUUCAAACUCUCGGUAUGCAAUGUUUGGUGCGGUUCGUGCCUUGGCGCAGGUUAUCUCGUAUGAAGUAAUACUUGUUUUUCUUUAUUUGGCUCCUUUUUUUGUUGCUGGGAGGUUGGAUUUAGAGAGUGUAAGUCUUUCUCAGGUGAGUGGGUGUAACGGGGGGGUGCUGUUUUUGGCCCUUCCUUGGUGGUGUUUCUGCAUUUUAGCGGAAAGAAAUCGUGCUCCUUUUGAUUUUGUUGAAGGGGAGUCAGAGCUUGUUUCAGGGUUUAAUGUUGAGUAUGGGAGGGGGGGGUUUGGAAUGAUCUUUAUUGCUGAGUACUCCAACAUUAUUUUUUUAAGAAGGCUUACUGGGGUUUUAUUUUUGGGGGGAGGUAAUUUCCUAGCUAGUGGCUAUUACGGAUUUUUGGUUAGGGGGU
Molecule: ribosomal RNA, 1317 nt
Filed under: Argopecten purpuratus
Lineage: Eukaryota; Metazoa; Mollusca; Bivalvia; Pectinida; Pectinidae
Description: 16S ribosomal RNA
Rfam family: Microsporidia small subunit ribosomal RNA (bases 1-396)
Source: RNAcentral